Non-coding RNA from Homo sapiens (human), 200 nucleotides. Lineage: Eukaryota; Metazoa; Chordata; Mammalia; Primates; Hominidae. The record is from Rfam.
GAACUGAUCUUUUCCUCACUAAUCCAAGUAUCUGUCUUCCAAAGCUUUGUGCUUGGUGGAAGAGAACUACCUUUGCAGUUAAGAACAACUUUUCCCUGGUCUGGGGGAUAUUCCCUGGAGCUGGCCAUAUUCCACUAAGAUGAAUAUUUCUCCACAUUUUAACAUCUCUGAAAUCUGAAACCAUUUUGCAGUUUGUGGUU